This 520-nucleotide ribosomal RNA is filed under the name Naohidemyces vaccinii. RNAcentral's name for it is "eukaryotic LSU rRNA". It matches the Rfam family "Eukaryotic large subunit ribosomal RNA", at positions 86 to 605 of the family's 3401-position model. The record is from RNAcentral. Lineage: Eukaryota; Fungi; Basidiomycota; Pucciniomycetes; Pucciniales; Milesinaceae.
ACGGCGAGUGAAGAGGGAAAAGCCCAAAUUUGUAAUCUGGCUCUUUUUAUAAGGGUCCGAGUUGUAAUUUUGAGAACUGUUUUCCGUGCUGGACCAUGUAAAAGUCUGUUGAAAAACAGCAUCAUUGAGGGUGAAAAUCCCGUACAUGAUAUGGACUACCAGUGCAAUGUGAUACAGUCUCUAAGAGUCGAGUUGUUUGGGAAUGCAGCUCAAAGUGGGUGGUAAAUUCCAUCUAAGGCUAAAUAUAGGUGAGAGACCGAUAGCAAACAAGUACCGUGAGGGAAAGAUGAAAAGAACUUUGGAAAUAGAGUUAACAGUACGUGAAAUUGUUAAAAGGGAAACAUUUGACGUUAGACUUGUUAUUGUUAGUUCAGCUUUUAUUAUUAAAGUGUUUUCUAAUGAUUAACAGACCAGCAUCAAUCUUUGAGUGUUGGAAAAGGGUUUUGGAAAUGUGGCAACCUUGGUUGUGUUAUAGUCCAUUACUUUGAUACAGUGCUUAAGAUUGAGGAACGCGGUGAGC